RNAcentral lists this ribosomal RNA (253 nucleotides) under uncultured bacterium. RNAcentral's name for it is "partial 16S ribosomal RNA". It matches the Rfam family "Bacterial small subunit ribosomal RNA", at positions 524 to 776 of the family's 1533-position model. The record is from RNAcentral.
UACGAAGGGAGCUAGCGUUGUUCGGAAUUACUGGGCGUAAAGGGCGCGUAGGCGGCUUGAUAAGUUUGAUGUGAAAGCCCUGGGCUUAACCUAGGAAUAGCAUUGAAUACUGUCAGGCUAGAGGCCGAGAGAGGGAAAUGGAAUUGCGAGUGUAGAGGUGAAAUUCGUAGAUAUUCGCAAGAACACCAGUGGCGAAGGCGAUUUCCUGGCUCGGUACUGACGCUAAGGCGCGAAAGCGUGGGGAGCGAACAGG